AAGAUUCAAAUGACACUUUAAAGCCCUUGUCACAAAAUUGACUUAUACUUAAUAAAUUAUGUUUUAAUCCAUUAACUAACAAUACAUUGUCAAUAAAUGAGGAGGGUGAUAUGGAGAUUUUACCAACGCCAAUGAUUUGACCUUUAGCAUUGUCUCCAAAUGUGACUACUCCUCCUUCUUUUGAUUUCAAGGUGACGAAAAGGUUCUUGUCACCGGUCAUAUGCCUUGAGCAACCGCUAUCAAGAUACCACAUUCUCUUUUUGCUCCCGGCUGCAAGGCAUACCUGCAAAAUAAUCAUGUGACGCUCUUAGGUAUCCAAGUUUUCUUGGGUCCUUCUUGGUUAGUGUAGUUGGUUCCCUUAGGCACCCACAUUUUGGUUGUGUUUUUACCCUUUACAAAUGUGUUCUUAUUAGUUUGAAUCUUUCUUUGAAUGCAAGAAUAAGCUUUAUGUCCACUUUUUCUCACAAUAAAAACAUGUAGGUUUUUCAGUUUUGACAUCUUUUGCUUUUACAAAAAAGUUCUUUAGAUAUUUUUGUUGUUUGCUAGUUUUGUAUCCUAAUCCGGCUUUAUUAAAAACAGCUCUUUAAUUGGAUAGAAUAAGAUUUAAUUUUUCCGAGCUAUGUGUAAAUUUCUGCACAAUUGGUUUAUACUUGUGUAGCUCAUCUUUAAGGUCCAAAUUUUCUUUAGCUAAUUCUUCUUUAUCAUUUUUAAGGGAUUCGACAUUUUGUGCAAGUGAAGUAUUACUAUUGAGUAGGAAUUUGACUCUUAGAUUUAAUUCCUUAAUGAGUGUUUUUGCCGUUUCAUUUUCAAUGCUAAGUUUUGAAUUUUUAUCUUUUAGGUCAACGAUGCUAUCAU
Molecule: long non-coding RNA, 855 nt
Filed under: Phoenix dactylifera (date palm)
Lineage: Eukaryota; Viridiplantae; Streptophyta; Magnoliopsida; Arecales; Arecaceae
Description: long non-coding RNA (PDAC_LNC005549)
Source: RNAcentral